This 875-nucleotide unclassified non-coding RNA is filed under the name Hevea brasiliensis (rubber tree). The record is from RNAcentral. Lineage: Eukaryota; Viridiplantae; Streptophyta; Magnoliopsida; Malpighiales; Euphorbiaceae.
CUUCUUUCUUUCUUUUGCUGCUCCUUGGACCUCUUUCUCUAUCCAUCGUCUCUUUCUCUCUCUAGAGUCUCAGAGCUUGCCCAUAACCCAUUUCACAAAGCUCAGUGAGUGGAGUUGGAAGGAUUGUGGAAGAAGGAGUUUUGGAGUGGGAAAUGGCUGGGAUUGCGAGCGAGGAAGCUGGAAGGUCCACAGAGGGGAUUUCUAGUGGGCACCGCUGCCAAUCAGGUGAAGCACUGGCAGAAUGGCGGUCAUCUGAGCAGGUGGAAAAUGGAACCCCAUCAACUUCACCCCCUUAUUGGGAAACUGAGGACGAUGAUGAUGGAGGGCCAAAACCUUCUGAGUUGUAUGGAAAAUACACAUGGAAAAUAGAAAAAUUUUCACAGAUUAACAAAAGAGAACUUCGUAGUGAUGAAUUUGAGGUUGGCGGCUACAAAUGGUACAUAUUAAUAUAUCCCCAAGGCUGUGAUGUUUGCAAUCAUCUCUCUUUGUUUCUUUGUGUUGCCAACCAUGACAAACUUCUUCCAGGUUGGAGUCAUUUUGCACAGUUUACAAUUGCUGUGGUGAAUAAGGAUCAAAAAAGCUGUGGUUAAUAAAGAUCCAAAAAAAUCAAAAUAUUCAGAUACAUUACACCGGUUCUGGAAGAAAGAGCAUGACUGGGGAUGGAAAAAAUUCAUGGAAUUAUCGAAAGUGUCAGAUGGGUUUUUAGAUGCUGCUGACACUCUAAUUAUAAAGGCUCAAGUGCAAGUCAUCAGGGAGAAAGCAGAUCGGCCUUUUCGUUGCCUUGAUUGUCAGUAUAGGAGAGAACUUGUUAGGAUUUAUUUGACAAAUGUAGAGCAGAUUUGUCGGCGUUUUGUGGAAGAGAGACGAGGCAAGCU